ACCCCUCUCAACUGAUCUCUCUGCGAGACAUGUUAGUGUGCUUUCGUGUAAUAUAUAAUGAACUUGAAAAUUAAGGGUUCCAGCUUGGUUGCACUAUCUCGUGGAGAUCUGGGAGCACGCCCUGUGCUGUACAGUCGGCGGCUGUUAAAGUUUCAAAUGUCUUAAAUAACUGUAAAACAAUGCACGCAUAGUUACAAUUGUCAAUAAUUUGGAGCGAAAAAAAAUUGGAUUCUGAUGUGUUUGUUUAUUGGAAUAUACGCAUGGAACCUCAACGAAUGUUUUGAACCUGGAAUUGGGAACAAACUACACAGCGGUGUUUGCAGGCUGACGGUGCCUCUGGUGAUCAGAUUUCCUUGUCAUCAGUUUCCUUAAGAUUCUGGAAAGGAUGGACCUUGUUGGAUUGUUGUGAGUUCAUAUAUUUUGUGUAAAAGCUGAAAGAUGCGCAAUAACAGUAACCCUACUGACAUGCAAAGGAUACACGGUCGUUUACAAAGGUGAAGAGAGUCAGCUAAUGAAGCGUGGGGGACCCUACAGCACAUGACAUUGCAUCACGUGACAGCAAGAGAUAAGAGACAGAGGAGCUAAUGUGCAGUUCAUCAGCGCAGUGUUGAAGGUUGGAACUUCAAACUUCACAAAGCACAGUCAGCACAUAAGAGGAGACAAGCUGCGAGUGG
Molecule: long non-coding RNA, 674 nt
Organism: Polyodon spathula (Mississippi paddlefish)
Lineage: Eukaryota; Metazoa; Chordata; Actinopteri; Acipenseriformes; Polyodontidae
Exons: 3
Source: RefSeq, a predicted model, not a curated record